AGGGUUUGAUCAUGGCUCAGAUUGAACGCUGGCUUCCGGCCUAACACAUGCAAGUCGAGCGGCAGCGGGAAAGUAGCUUGCUACUUUUGCCGGCGAGCGGCGGACGGGUGAGUAAUGCCUGGGGACCUGCCCAGUCGAGGGGGAUAACAGUUGGAAACGACUGCUAAUACCGCAUACGCCCUACGGGGGAAAGGAGGGGACCUUCGGGCCUUUCGCGAUUGGAUGAACCCAGGUGGGAUUAGCUAGUUGGUGGGGUAAUGGCUCACCAAGGCGACGAUCCCUAGCUGGUCUGAGAGGAUGAUCAGCCACACUGGAACUGAGACACGGUCCAGACUCCUACGGGAGGCAGCAGUGGGGAAUAUUGCACAAUGGGGGAAACCCUGAUGCAGCCAUGCCGCGUGUGUGAAGAAGGCCUUCGGGUUGUAAAGCACUUUCAGCGAGGAGGAAAGGUUGGUCGCUAAUAACGGCCAACUGUGACGUUACUCGCAGAAGAAGCCACG
Molecule: ribosomal RNA, 500 nt
Filed under: uncultured bacterium
Lineage: Bacteria
Description: bacterial SSU rRNA
Rfam family: Bacterial small subunit ribosomal RNA
Source: RNAcentral